RNAcentral lists this ribosomal RNA (498 nucleotides) under uncultured bacterium. RNAcentral describes it as "partial 16S ribosomal RNA". It matches the Rfam family "Bacterial small subunit ribosomal RNA", at positions 30 to 523 of the family's 1533-position model. The record is from RNAcentral.
AUUGAACGCUGGCGGCAUGCCUUACACAUGCAAGUCGAACGGUAACAGGUCUUCGGAUGCUGACGAGUGGCGAACGGGUGAGUAAUACAUCGGAACGUGCCUAGUAGUGGGGGAUAACUACUCGAAAGAGUGACUAAUACCGCAUGAGAUCUACGGAUGAAAGCAGGGGAUCGCAAGACCUUGUGCUACUAGAGCGGCCGAUGGCAGAUUAGGUAGUUGGUGGGAUAAAAGCUUACCAAGCCGACGAUCUGUAGCUGGUCUGAGAGGACGAUCAGCCACACUGAGAAUGCGACACGGCCCAGACUCCUACGGGAGGCAGCAGUGGGGAAUUUUGGACAAUGGGCGCAAGCCUGAUCCAGCAAUGCCGCGUGCAGGAUGAAGGCCUUCGGGUUGUAAACUGCUUUUGUACGGAACGAAAAGCCCCGGGUUAAUACCCUGGGGUCAUGACGGUACCGUAAGAAUAAGCACCGGCUAACUACGUGCCAGCCGCCGCAGUAA